This 76-nucleotide transfer RNA is filed under the name Planctomycetota bacterium. RNAcentral's name for it is "Planctomycetes bacterium (bioreactor metagenome) tRNA-Ala". It matches the Rfam family "tRNA". Rfam says of the family: Transfer RNA (tRNA) molecules are approximately 80 nucleotides in length. Their secondary structure includes four short double-helical elements and three loops (D, anti-codon, and T loops). Lineage: Bacteria; Pseudomonadati; Planctomycetota. The record is from RNAcentral.
GGGGGCGUAGCUCAGUUGGCAGAGCGUCUGGUUUGCAACCAGAAGGUCGUGGGUUCGAAUCCCUUCGCCUCCACCA